CAGUAAUAAACCAGCUGUGUUAGAAAUGGAUCACUUAUCAGUGCGUGCCCAAGCCUCCUAAUGCCUCAUGAUGUUUAAUAAUUAAAUUGUGACACCUUGAACUUGCAGCUGACACCAUGAAUCACAGUGGAAUUCUCCAAGUGGAAUGCAGCCACACCUCAGCUUCUGUGCUGCGUGCUGCCACUGAGGACGUUCGAUACCAUUGAAGCCGUCAGAUAGAGGCCAUAUUUCAAAAGGUCUACGGUGGCUCCGUUUCUUCUCUGAGACUUCAAAAGUCCUUCAAGAGUGAGUUCCCCUCUCAUUCUAUGUCCAGGAUGAAGACGGAUGGCCUCUUGGCACCCAUCUCUUUGGCAUGAACGAUGUGGGGAAACGUGAAUGGAAAUGGGGAACUGUUGCUGGCACCCAGAAGUCAUCCGGUCCGGAUGAAGCCAAGUCACACGGAAGUGCCUCCAAUUAUUCUUCAUAAAUUCCUCUGAGGUUUCACUUCUUGUCCACACAAGACUUUAAUAAAAUGUGGCAUCUAACUGAAUAAAGACUAUCCUUUCAGG
Molecule: non-coding RNA, 548 nt
Filed under: Pan troglodytes (chimpanzee)
Lineage: Eukaryota; Metazoa; Chordata; Mammalia; Primates; Hominidae
Source: RNAcentral